Rhododendron vialii is the source of this 2892-nucleotide long non-coding RNA. RefSeq lists it as uncharacterized. The transcript is spliced from 4 exons. Lineage: Eukaryota; Viridiplantae; Streptophyta; Magnoliopsida; Ericales; Ericaceae. The record is from RefSeq and is a predicted model, not a curated record.
UACGCAACACGCUUUCCAUAGAACGUAUAAUAUUACAUCGUAGUUUAAUUUUGCUUUUCAAGAUUUUCCUCCUCCUCGAUUUACUUUCUGAUAAUACAAGUCGAACGUCAAAGCUUGGAUGACAGGUUCAUGGCGUUGGGUGAUUGAUGAUGGUGGCUCAGAGUAUAAAGGAAGACUACAGGGUUGUUUGUGUGGCCGUGUAGUAUUGUUCUUGCUGAGUAUGUUUGACAACAAAGAUUACCCUUUUUCCGGAUUAGGGUUAGCGUAGUUGAGCUUGGAGCCAGGACUUCGUUACCGGGGUUAGUUGCCGCGAAAGUGAGCUCAGAUGUCACCCUAACCGAUGAUGCAAACAGACCAGAGGAUGUGCCCUAAAAUUCUGUGCUAAACAAAUCGGAAUUCCUCCCUCCACCUUCCUCUGCUGGAUUAAAUGUCGAGAUAAUGAAGUGGCUUCAUGCCUAUAGAGCCAUCUUCUUCGCGCUUAGUGAUCCACCAAUUGAUUAGUUUUUACGUUGUCAAUCCCAUUUGCAAAUUGCUGAGAAGAACGAUUCCAGCAGCUAUUCCUUGGUCGUUUUGAGUCUUUAGCUUUCAGCAGAUGCUGCAAAUGGUCAGAUUGGGUACUUGAUGCACCUUAUUGUCAAUGAAGGGUCUGAAGGCCAACUUGGAUGCCCCAUAUCUGUACUAAAGGGCUGUCAGCAUUUUUCAUCCUUAUAGCCAUGCUAGAUAUGCUUUCUUUCCCAGUAUGGGAAGAUUUAACCACGGAGACUAGUUGGGGUGUGCAUCCUCAAAAGUUAGAUCCUCAAAAUCAUCCAAGGUUUCAACUACUGUUCCACUACUUUUGUUUGGAGAACUAGAUUUAUGUUGUAGGUUUUGUUAAACAUCUAUCGACAAUGGCAAGGAUAGGCUCAACCUGUGGUUUUGCCUGCGGCAAUUUAUCUUAUACCGUUCUUCCAAUCGUACAAACUAGUAAUCUAAUUCUUGUCAACUUGGGAUCCAUGGGUAUUCCUUACUUUCCCCGCUGCAUCCAUGAUUCAAACACAUGUGAAAACAUAUAUAUGAGAUUUUGGAAAUGGUUUGAGGGCAUAUUCUGGUCUACAAUGUUUGUACAGGUAUUUUUCCUGUUGCUUGCGCAAAUAAAAGUUAUUUUAACAUUUCUCUUCCAACAAAACGUAGGAAGGAAUGGGGGAAGAAAAAUUGCGACCGGCAACAACGAGACUUGAACCCAAAUAUCAUGUCCAGUAAAAGAGCACAGGGUCUAGUUGUCUAUUUGGAAGUUCAAGUUCUGAUGCUGUAGAUGAUAUUUACCUUGACUCAUAAUUGGCUAUGGAUUUGGCUUGGCCACCUAUGAGUAUUAGCAGUGGAAGUAAUGCUGCUUCAGAUCUCAUACAUUUGUGAUAUGCACUUGGAAAGUUUUUGUCCCUUUCCUCUGAAUCCUCUCACAGGUGAAGAACAAAACCACGUGUAUCAAUCCCAUCCAAUGGGUUUGCUGAAAAUCUUAUUUGUACGCAGGUAUGGCCGGGUGGUUGUUUUCAUCCUGUUUGCAUUGCCGGAGAAUGCCCCUUGCCAUCACUUACCCAAAUAAAAAGUGAGACAGAAACAUGAGAUGAGAAGUACCUUGGUUGAUAUUCUAGUGUACUUCUUUGGAUAUCUCAUCUUAUUCCUUGCUCAAUACAAGCAUGCAUGUGACUAUUUUUCAUGGUUGAAAAGUUUUUUCCUGUGCAAGGCUUGUUUUAAUGUUCUGCGCCAAUUAGGUGCCUAAAAAUGCUCGGCACCGGAGAAAAAUGGAGGAAGUUUUUCGAAGAACAAAGAGUAUGCUGUUACGGACAUGAACUGCCCUCUUUGGUUCAAAUAAGACUGGCCUUUGAAAAACCGCUGCCGCAAUGGACUUCAUACCAAUAGGAACCAUCUUAACCAUGAUAGUGAACCAAGUCUAAAAUGAAUUUGACUAGUUUUUCAAUUUUCUCAUGUUUAUGCGAUACAAUACUUCCAGAAAUCAAUCAUCAUAAAUGAAUAGUUGUGGCCGAUGGUUGAAUUUUUAUUUUUAUUUUGUGGAACUUGUUUGACGUUAUUGUCAUUCUUGAACUCUCCAGGGUCAAAGAAGUGAAGAAUGUAAAUGGUAAGAGCACCUGUUCCCAUGGAACUUAAUGAACAAACACAAAGCUACUUGGUGAAGCAGGAGAGAUACCCCCUUUGCUUGAAAUGGCAUCUGGAAACAGCGAAUCUAAAGAGUUGGCUUUAUCUGCGUUGGUUAAGCUACCAGGCUGCCAUGUAAACAAGAACCGCGUCUGCACAGCUGGUUGGGUUCCUCUUCAUCUGAAGUUAAUCUUUUUCGUUCCAUCUACGCAAGUCAUAUUCGCAAAAUGCUCUGGAGUCCUUGAAACACUUGCUUCAAACGGAAAUGGAACUAUAUUCUUAAUUGAUGAAGCCAGGGCGCCCCAACUUGAAGUACUGCCCAUUAUCACCAACUUGUUACUUUUGCAUCAAAAGCCCAACACCUCAUAUAUUGUGAGGAAGCCAGCCUUGCGUUUUGAGAAGAAUUUGUUUAGAUUUCUGUUCUCACUUCAAAUGGGUUAUCACUGAUCAUUACUCUUCUUGAUGACUCCAUCUUGGAUCCAUGAAGUUGCAAUGAAUCUUCUCUUCCUCUUCUCACAAUAAGAGCCAGAAGGAGUUGUGGAAUGCCUUCUCAAGCCAAGAAGACUUGAAGCUUUAGUCAAUUUUCUAGAAAACAAGACAAGAUACCAUGUACAAAUGGCUGCAGCUGGUUUACCAGCCAAUUCACUUGGUUAAGGAUUUUUAACUUCCUUGUUUGAUAGGUGUGUUAAGGACGUUCGAACCUGAAUCUCUUUAUUGGGUGAAGGUUUUCCAAGCUAUUUUCUCAAUUUUCUCUUUUUUAUU